GAAAACAGAUUUAAUGUCAUUUUCAAUCACCUUGUUGAAAAUAUAAGACAAGAAGCAAAACUGACCUCUGAUCAGUGUCUGGGGCAUACUCAGCAGGA
Molecule: long non-coding RNA, 98 nt
Organism: Etheostoma cragini (Arkansas darter)
Lineage: Eukaryota; Metazoa; Chordata; Actinopteri; Perciformes; Percidae
Exons: 4
Source: RefSeq, a predicted model, not a curated record